GCGCCGGCAGCCGGCGACAGCAAGUGCCACAGAGAAUAUACCGCCCGCAAGGGUAAGGGUGAAAACGUGAGGUAAGAGCUCACGGCUUUCCCGGGCGACCGGGAUCGCGGUAAACCUCAGGAGUUGAAAAACCAAAUAGGUUCUGAAAGCGGAGUUGCUCGCUCCCGUGCCCGUAAGGGCCGUCAGAAUGGGUAGGUUGAUAAAGCAUGCUGGUAACAGCAUGAUCAGAUUAAUGAUAGAAAUCUCCGUUAGGAGAUACAGAACCCGGCUUACAGAUUUGCUGCUGUA
This 288-nucleotide RNase P RNA is filed under the name Mucilaginibacter sp. Its description in RNAcentral is "partial RNase P RNA component class A". It matches the Rfam family "Bacterial RNase P class A", at positions 89 to 367 of the family's 367-position model. Rfam says of the family: Ribonuclease P (RNase P) is a ubiquitous endoribonuclease, found in archaea, bacteria and eukarya as well as chloroplasts and mitochondria. Its best characterised activity is the generation of mature 5'-ends of tRNAs by cleaving the 5'-leader elements of precursor-tRNAs. The record is from RNAcentral. Lineage: Bacteria; Pseudomonadati; Bacteroidota; Sphingobacteriia; Sphingobacteriales; Sphingobacteriaceae.